UUGGAGUUCUGCUGCCUGCUGCUUACACCUUUUCGACACUAGGUGCCGCCAGUAGGAGUGUACCUGAGGCGACAGGUGUUGUGCAUCUACUCAUCAGCUGGGAAGCAUAUAGAGGAAGGUUGCCAACACCUCGGCGCCCGAGUGUUUUUGCCUCUGUGGUAAUUUCUGGCCAGCUCUGAAAUCUUUGCAUGAUUUUUACCAUGGAUAUCUUUUGAAGGAUCUGUUGUUGCGAACUCUAAUUUGCUUUGUUACCUGUUCCAGGUGUGAAUCCUACCUGAUCUGUUCCAGUCCUCUGUAGUGGCUAAGGCUACUUCCUGAUCUAGUCUGUGCAUGGCAAGCUGAACUCCUUUCCUGACAUUUAUUCUCUCCCUGGCGGGUUAUUCCGGAAUCUCCAUAAGGAAGAUUAGACUCAUCGCUCCUGUUGUUCCUGAUCAUCUUUCAGUAAAAACUUAUUCCUUUUACAAAGUUUUCUGAGAGUCUCUGCAUGUGGGUUAAGUCGGCUGUAAAAAUCAUGACAGAUUCUUUCACUUUUAGACAUCUCUGUUGUCCACCUUAAACUAGUUUUUCUCCCUUAUCUCAGCACUGAUUCUUAAGCUGUAAUUAUGUACAGUAAACAGACACACAAUGCAAAAAAUAA
Girardinichthys multiradiatus is the source of this 637-nucleotide long non-coding RNA. RefSeq lists it as uncharacterized. Lineage: Eukaryota; Metazoa; Chordata; Actinopteri; Cyprinodontiformes; Goodeidae. The transcript has 2 exons. The record is from RefSeq and is a predicted model, not a curated record.